CGAACGCCUACUCCUUCUCGACCCAGCUUCACAUCGUCCUUUUUUCUCUCCCUCAUUUUUUCCUCCCGGGCCUAGGGUUUCCGCCGCCGCCGCCGUCGCCGUCGUCACCGCCGCUGGCUUCCGGAGGAUGGCCCGCUUCUACCCCGACUCUUCUCUCACCCUAUUCAAUCUCGACUAGCACCACCGCCGCUGCUUUGAGCUCGUCUAUGGGUGCGGGGAAGAGGAUGGCAUCGAGGUGCAGACGGCCCUGGCUCGGGGAGGCGACCUCCAUCGCCGCCACGAGAGGAGCAGGGGUGGAGGCUGCUCUUUGGGUACGAGAGGAGCACAACAGGGGAUUGUUCAGAGGGUAGGCCAAGGGACGCCGAGUCGAGUCAAGGCCGUCAGAGCGAGCACGUUCAUGGCUUUUUGUGAUCUUCCUGGCUGAUUUGGGUGUGAAUCGCGCCUUCGUCCUGUAAAACAUGGCGCCGCAGGGGCUCUACCUGCACCCCAGACGUCGACGCUGCGCCGGCUCAUCCUCGAGGUCCGACGACCCCAGGCCCGACCUUGAUGAGUGCCCAAUCUGCUUCCCCGCCAGUCCCCUUUUAGUGAGUCUCUCCUUGUUCCUCCAAUGGAUCCAACUAUAGAUAGAUGCAAAAUUCUGAAUAUCGCUUCGCCCCUGCGUCUUGAUUGCAGUUCUAUCCGAGCCUUAGUUUGGUCAAGUGUUGCGCUAACUGAAACAUGAAUUGAGUGAUGAUACUAUAGAUUUCAUUGGCCAUGUGCUUGCUCUUUACAGGAACGAUAGGGUUCUUGUGGAUCGUGUUGGUCGUUCUGGGGCAUUGGAGUGGUCCAACUACCUGACGACGGUCAAGAUCGAGGUGCUGUCCGUGUAGUGGUUGCUCGGCCGUGACCAUGGGACCUUUUCCUAUUUUAUUAUUGGCUGUGUGACGAGAAGUCAGAGCAAAAAAUCCGAAGCGACUCCUCCCUUGUAAGUUCCAUGUACUGGGAUUUUACUUCUUGAUUAUUUUUCUCUAAAUGGUAGAAUGAUGCUUCUUCUGAUAUUGUAUUCUAGAAGAAUCCUAUGUUUUGUUCUUGGUACUAUAGAAGUGCAUCUCCCUUUUAUGCUGAUAGCAAGAUGGUCUUAAUUUUCAAUGCAAAUAAAUGAUUACUGGAGCCCAUGCAUUUUUCUGAGGGAGCCCAUGCAUAUUGUACAGCAAUGCAGUAUGUGGUGCUGUUUUUCAUUUUUUAUUUAUAAUCAGUGGCAAUACAGUGCCAGUAUUUUCCUCUUUGAUAUGGGUGCAAGUAUUUCUAUUUGGUAUUUAACUUAUAAUUGCCGAUUUUCUGAAAAAAGGGGCCAAAGAUUAGUCUGACAAUCUUUAUAUCUCACUCUUGUGGGAAGUACAAUAAAGAAAGUAUGUUCUUCAGGCUUAUGUUUCCCAGAUUGGCAGCUCUCAGUCAAACUUCUUUACUGAUCACUUCACCAUCGACAUCCACCCGAUCGAGCGGUUGUCGCCGAGCUCCACGGCUUCUGUGUCUACCGGAGAUGGGUUCUUGUGGGUCAGCUCACAAGAAGGUCGUCGGACUGCCCAAGAAGCUGUGCCUCGCCUCGUCGCCGCCGUCCAAGGACAACAAGGUUGUCGACGAUGUUCUGGUCGGUGUCGACCUCAAGGUCAAGUUGUUCGUCCCCAGUAGCAGGAGCGCUGACUCUGAUACGGUGUGACGGCUGGCGUCCUCGUCGAGGUCGUUCUUGUCGUCAACUUCAUCUCCAACCCAUCCACGGGUGUACCAUCUCCUGGAGUGCCCGUUCUGCUUCCUGGAAUUGAUUUUCACUAGGAACAGAAGCUUCAACAGUUUGUUGCUGAAGGAGAGCCGAGCAAGGAUGAAACAGAAGCUUUGAUGGCAUUCCAAGUUCGUGUCUGCAUUCUCUAAGAAACUGUUGAUGCUGCUCAUACUGACAUCUGCGGCCAAUUAUUUGAAAAGGCAAUGCAUUUUAUAGUUUAUUGCGCCUUUCAUUAACACACUACAUAAUGUUAGGUUUAAUUCCAGAUAUGCAUUAGUUCAGCAAAGUUGCUGGCCUGUUCUGUGUAAGUGUUCUUCUUACCCUUCUAGGAUAUUGCAGGUUGUUAAGGAAGAAAUUUUGUCAGUUGAUGGCACAAUGUCACAGUGUCUAAACUUUUUUUUUUCGAGAGUAUCACAGUGUCUCUUGAAAAAGGAGGCUGCUAUGACCAUCUUUAGUAAAGCAGUAUGCCUCUCCCCUAAAAAAUGUGUUACAUAGAUUGGCGUAUAUUUUUCUGUAAAACUACUAUAUCUGUUGGUAUAUUAAAGUGCAAAUCCAA
Molecule: long non-coding RNA, 2312 nt
Organism: Triticum dicoccoides
Lineage: Eukaryota; Viridiplantae; Streptophyta; Magnoliopsida; Poales; Poaceae
Exons: 6
Source: RefSeq, a predicted model, not a curated record